RNAcentral lists this ribosomal RNA (1372 nucleotides) under uncultured bacterium. RNAcentral's name for it is "bacterial SSU rRNA". It matches the Rfam family "Bacterial small subunit ribosomal RNA", at positions 28 to 1381 of the family's 1533-position model. The record is from RNAcentral.
GAUGAACGCUGGCGGCGUGCCUAAUACAUGCAAGUCGAGCGAACGGACGAGAAGCUUGCUUCUCUGAUGUUAGCGGCGGACGGGUGAGUAACACGUGGAUAACCUACCUAUAAGACUGGGAUAACUUCGGGAAACCGGAGCUAAUACCGGAUAAUAUUUUGAACCGCAUGGUUCAAAAGUGAAAGACGGUCUUGCUGUCACUUAUAGAUGGAUCCGCGCUGCAUUAGCUAGUUGGUAAGGUAACGGCUUACCAAGGCAACGAUGCAUAGCCGACCUGAGAGGGUGAUCGGCCACACUGGAACUGAGACACGGUCCAGACUCCUACGGGAGGCAGCAGUAGGGAAUCUUCCGCAAUGGGCGAAAGCCUGACGGAGCCACGCCGCGUGAGUGAUGAAGGUCUUCGGAUCGUAAAACUCUGUUAUUAGGGAAGAACAUAUGUGUAAGUAACUGUGCACAUCUUGACGGUACCUAAUCAGAAAGCCACGGCUAACUACGUGCCAGCAGCCGCGGUAAUACGUAGGUGGCAAGCGUUAUCCGGAAUUAUUGAGCGUAAAGCGCGCGUAGGCGGUUUUUUAAGUCUGAUGUGAAAGCCCACGGCUCAACCGUGGAGGGUCAUUGGAAACUGGAAAACUUGAGUGCAGAAGAGGAAAGUGGAAUUCCAUGUGUAGCGGUGAAAUGCGCAGAGAUAUGGAGGAACACCAGUGGCGAAGGCGACUUUCUGGUCUGUAACUGACGCUGAUGUGCGAAAGCGUGGGGAUCAAACAGGAUUAGAUACCCUGGUAGUCCACGCCGUAAACGAUGAGUGCUAAGUGUUAGGGGGUUUCCGCCCCUUAGUGCUGCAGCUAACGCAUUAAGCACUCCGCCUGGGGAGUACGACCGCAAGGUUGAAACUCAAAGGAAUUGACGGGGACCCGCACAAGCGGUGGAGCAUGUGGUUUAAUUCGAAGCAACGCGAAGAACCUUACCAAAUCUUGACAUCCUUUGACAACUCUAGAGAUAGAGCUUUCCCCUUCGGGGGACAAAGUGACAGGUGGUGCAUGGUUGUCGUCAGCUCGUGUCGUGAGAUGUUGGGUUAAGUCCCGCAACGAGCGCAACCCUUAAGCUUAGUUGCCAUCAUUAAGUUGGGCACUCUAAGUUGACUGCCGGUGACAAACCGGAGGAAGGUGGGGAUGACGUCAAAUCAUCAUGCCCCUUAUGAUUUGGGCUACACACGUGCUACAAUGGACAAUACAAAGGGCAGCGAAACCGUGAGGUCAAGCAAAUCCCAUAAAGUUGUUCUCAGUUCGGAUUGUAGUCUGCAACUCGACUACAUGAAGCUGGAAUCGCUAGUAAUCGUAGAUCAGCAUGCUACGGUGAAUACGUUCCCGGGUCU